GGGGACGUGGUGUACGGCACACCGCUGCAUUAAUUUGUUGAUUACUCUCCAGGGGCAUUAGGCAGCAGGCCGGGGUUCGACUCCCCGCGUCCCCA
This is a non-coding RNA of Mycena latifolia, 95 nucleotides long. The record is from the annotation of a GenBank genome assembly. Lineage: Eukaryota; Fungi; Basidiomycota; Agaricomycetes; Agaricales; Mycenaceae.